RNAcentral lists this ribosomal RNA (492 nucleotides) under uncultured bacterium. RNAcentral's name for it is "partial 16S ribosomal RNA". It matches the Rfam family "Bacterial small subunit ribosomal RNA", at positions 28 to 507 of the family's 1533-position model. The record is from RNAcentral.
GAUGAACGCUCGCUACAGGCUUAACACAUGCAAGUCGAGGGGAAACGGCAUUGAGUGCUUGCACUCUUUGGACGUCGACCGGCGCACGGGUGAGUAACGCGUAUCCAACCUUCCCAUUACUGUGAGAUAACCUGCCGAAAGGCAGACUAAUACCGCAUAGUCUUCGAUGACGGCAUCAGAUUUGCAGUAAAGAUUUAUCGGUAAUGGAUGGGGAUGCGUCUGAUUAGCUUGUUGGCGGGGUAACGGCCCACCAAGGCGACGAUCAGUAGGGGUUCUGAGAGGAAGGUCCCCCACAUUGGAACUGAGACACGGUCCAAACUCCUACGGGAGGCAGCAGUGAGGAAUAUUGGUCAAUGGACGGAAGUCUGAACCAGCCAAGUAGCGUGCAGGAUGACGGCCCUAUGGGUUGUAAACUGCUUUUGUAUGGGGAUAAAGUUAGGGACGUGUCCCUAUUUGCAGGUACCAUACGAAUAAGGACCGGCUAAUUCCGUG